CCUACGGGAGGCUGCAGUGAGGAAUAUUGGUCAAUGGGCGCGAGCCUGAACCAGCCAAGUAGCGUGAAGGAUGACUGCCCUACGGGUUGUAAACUUCUUUUAUAAAGGAAUAAAGUGAGGCACGUGUGCCUUUUUGUAUGUACUUUAUGAAUAAGGAUCGGCUAACUCUGUGCCAGCAGCCGCGGUAAUACGGAGGAUCCGAGCGUUAUCCGGAUUUAGUGGGUUUAAAGGGAGCGUAGAUGGGUUGUUAAGUCAGUUGUGAAAGUUUGCGGCUCAACCGUAAAAUUGCAAUUGAUACUGGCAGCCUGGAGUGCAGUAGGGGUAGGCGGAAUUCGUGGUGUAGCGGUGAAAUGCUUAGAUAUCACGAAGAACUCCGAUUGCGAAGGCAGCUUACUAAACUGCCACUGACAUUGAGGCUCGAAAGUGUGGGUAGCAAACAGGAUUAGAUACCCCAGUAGUC
RNAcentral lists this ribosomal RNA (460 nucleotides) under uncultured bacterium. RNAcentral describes it as "partial 16S ribosomal RNA". It matches the Rfam family "Bacterial small subunit ribosomal RNA", at positions 338 to 795 of the family's 1533-position model. The record is from RNAcentral.